RNAcentral lists this ribosomal RNA (250 nucleotides) under uncultured bacterium. RNAcentral's name for it is "partial 16S ribosomal RNA". It matches the Rfam family "Bacterial small subunit ribosomal RNA", at positions 355 to 622 of the family's 1533-position model. The record is from RNAcentral.
UUAGGAAUAUUGGACAAUGGGCGCAAGCCUGAUCCAGCCAUGCCGCGUGAGUGAUGAAGGCCUUCGGGUUGUAAAGCUCUUUAGCCGAUGAAUAUAAUGACUGUAGUCGGAAAAUAAGCCCCGGCUAACUUCGUGCCAGCAGCCGCGGUAAUACGAGGGGGGCGAGCGUUGUUCGGAAUCACUGGGCGUAAAGCGUGCGUAGGCGGCUUUGAAAGUUAGGAGUGAAAGCCCCAGGCUCAACCUGGGAAUU